UACGUAGGGCGCAAGCGUUGUCCGGAAUUAUUGGGCGUAAAGAGCUCGUAGGCGGUCUGUCGCGUCUGUUGUGAAAACUCGAGGCUCAACCUCGGGCUUGCAGUGGAUACGGGCAUACUAGAGUGCGGUAGGGGAGACUGGAAUUCCUGGUGUAGCGGUGGAAUGCGCAGAUAUCAGGAGGAACACCGAUGGCGAAGGCAGGUCUCUGGGCCGCAACUGACGCUGAGGAGCGAAAGCAUGGGGAGCGAACAGG
RNAcentral lists this ribosomal RNA (253 nucleotides) under uncultured bacterium. Its description in RNAcentral is "partial 16S ribosomal RNA". It matches the Rfam family "Bacterial small subunit ribosomal RNA", at positions 524 to 776 of the family's 1533-position model. The record is from RNAcentral.